AUUGAACGCUGGCGGCAGGCUUAACACAUGCAAGUCGAGCGGGGGAAGGUAGCUUGCUACCGGACCUAGCGGCGGACGGGUGAGUAAUGCUUAGGAAUCUGCCUAUUAGUGGGGGACAACAUCUCGAAAGGGAUGCUAAUACCGCAUACGUCCUACGGGAGAAAGCAGGGGAUCUUCGGACCUUGCGCUAAUAGCUGAGCAUAAGUUGGAUUAGCUAGUUGGUGGGGUAAAGGCCUACCAAGGCGACGAUCUGUAGCGGGCCUGAGAGGAUGAUCCGCCACACUGGGACUGGGACACGGCCCAGACUCCUACGGGAGGCAGCAGUGGGGAAUAUUGGACAAUGGGGGGAACCCUGAUCCAGCCAUGCCGCGUGUGUGAAGAAGGCCUUAUGGUUGUAAAGCACUUUAAGCGAGGAGGAGGCUACUCUAGUUAAUACCUAGGGAUAGUGGACGUUACUCGCAGAAUAAGCACCGGCUAACUCUGUGCCAGCCGCCGCAGUAA
Molecule: ribosomal RNA, 501 nt
Filed under: uncultured bacterium
Lineage: Bacteria
Description: partial 16S ribosomal RNA
Rfam family: Bacterial small subunit ribosomal RNA
Source: RNAcentral